This 484-nucleotide ribosomal RNA is filed under the name uncultured bacterium. RNAcentral describes it as "partial 16S ribosomal RNA". The stretch from base 60 to 484 matches the Rfam family "Bacterial small subunit ribosomal RNA", at positions 37 to 507 of the family's 1533-position model. The record is from RNAcentral.
GGGGGGGGGGGGGGGGGGGGGGGGGGGGGGGGGGGCGGGCGGGGGGGGGGGGGGGGGGGUGGCGGCGGGGGGGGGACGGGGGGGUGAUGCAUCGGAACGUGCCCAGGGGUGGGGGAGAGCUCGGCGAAAGCCGGAUUAAUACCGCAUACGACCUGAGGGUGAAAGCGGGGGAUCUUCGGACCUCGCGCUAUUGGAGCGGCCGAUGGCAGAUUAGCUAGUUGGUGGGGUAAAGGCCUACCAAGGCGACGAUCUGUAGCUGGUCUGAGAGGACGACCAGCCACACUGGGACUGAGACACGGCCCAGACUCCUACGGGAGGCAGCAGUGGGGAAUUUUGGACAAUGGGCGAAAGCCUGAUCCAGCAAUGCCGCGUGUGUGAUGAAGGCCUUCGGGUUGUAAAGCACUUUUGGCGGGAACGAAAAGGACUGUGCCAAUACCACGGUUCGAUGACGGUACCCGCAGAAUAAGCACCGGCUAACUACGUG